Molecule: ribosomal RNA, 460 nt
Filed under: uncultured bacterium
Lineage: Bacteria
Description: partial 16S ribosomal RNA
Rfam family: Bacterial small subunit ribosomal RNA
Source: RNAcentral
CCUACGGGUGGCAGCAGUGAGGAAUCUUUGUCAAUGGGCGCGAGCCUGAUCCAGCCACGUAGCGUGAAGGAUGACUGCCCUACGGGUUGUAAACUUCUUUUAUAAAGGAAUAAAGUGAGGCACGUGUGCCUUUUUGUAUGUACUUUAUGAAUAAGGAUCGGCUAACUCCGUGCCAGCAGCCGCGGUAAUACGGAGGAUCCGAGCGUUAUCCGGAUUUAUUGGGUUUAAAGUGCGCGUAGAUGGGUUGUUAAGUCAGUUGUGAAAGUUUGCGGCUCAACCGUAAGAUUGCAAUUGAUACUGGCAGGCUUGAGUACAGUAGAGGUAGGCGGAAUGCGUGGUGUAGCAGUGAAAUGCUUAGAUAUCACGAAGAACUCCGAUUGCGAAGGCAGGUUACUAGACUGCAACUGACACUGAGGCACGAAGGUGUGGGGAUCAAACAGGAUUAGAUACCCGAGUAGUC